Homo sapiens (human) is the source of this 1578-nucleotide long non-coding RNA. Ensembl annotates it as long intergenic non-protein coding RNA 1913. NCBI's taxonomy places the organism in Eukaryota, Metazoa, Chordata, Mammalia, Primates, Hominidae. The record is from Ensembl.
GGGCAACGUGGAGAGAUGUAGGAAGUGAACCUGAAGCCUGACACACUCAAGGUCUCGGAACCGAAAAUAAUAGGAAUUGUUCUUAUUUUUCCAGUGGAAUCAAGCACAGAGAUGGGCACGCCUCUUUACAGAACCAAAGAUUCAGAACUGUGCCUUACCCUUUGCUUAUGAGGCGGAGGAGGAGGAAGAGAAAGAACCACCGCAAAGAGAGAUGGCAACAAAGCCUGUACUCACCACAGCCCUCCCCGAGAGUGGAGACACAGCCAACAAGGAUCAUGGGCCCAAGGGCCUCCAAGAGCUGCUCCUUUCAGACCACCCCCACCAUGGGCCCACCCUGCAGCCACAGGUCCUGGGAAGCCCAUGGUCAUGGAGCCCCCACAGCUGAGUUACUGUGGCUCAUGACCCAAUUGGAGCUCUUCCCUCCCUGCUCUUGGAUAUUCCCCAUGACCAGAAAGUCAUUAAAAUCCCACAGUCUCCUCUGAGCUGAUUCUCACCAUUUUUCUCUUCCUCUUCAUUCUCAGUGCCUCACUCUUACACACUAGACCCCUGGACUAUCAUUUGGACCAUGGAGCCAGCCCCCCAGCCAGCUUCCCUGCCACCAACUUCCCCUCCAAGACACUUAAAGGCCAGCUUUGGAAAUAUUUUUUUAAAUUGAAUGUCAUUUUUAUCAAGUCCUUCCCCUACUCAAGAGCCUUUAGUAGUUCCCUAUUUCUUCUUGUUAUAGCAGACAUAAAUAACUCACCAGAUUUUGAGAAUACUCUCACCACUCCCCCAACCCCUCUUCUGCCUAUGUCCAGAUCUACACUCAAAAACAGCCUUCCCUAGUUAAUCUCCUCCCCUCUCUGUCCACCCCUUUACCCAUCCCCAUGGUUUAUUGGAUACUGUUUUGGGUGUCUUGAGAUAUUAGGUUAGGGUUCUUUGACAGCAAGCAACAGAAACCAACUCUGACUAGUUUAAGGAACAGAAAGGGAUAGAUUGGAAACGAAUGGCAUAGUUUGGAGAUUAAAAGCAAGCCUGAACUACAGUCCUGGGAAAGAUAGAACUGGGCAGCUCUGAAGAUCUUUCUGGAACAUUGCCAUCAGAUGAUCAGCUCCAACUGCCUUCUCUCCUUAUUUCUCUCUGCUUAAGAUUCAGAGUUGCAGGACUGAACAUCAACAAGCUCCGUGAUCAGGGAGCAGAGUCCUGUGAUUGGUUGCCCUACCAAAACCACUCAGGGUGGGGGAAGGUUGCAACAUUUAGCAAAUAAAAAUACAGGAUGCCCAGCUAAGUUGAAUUCCAGAUAAACAAUGUUUAAUUGCCCAUAUAAACACAUCCCAGGCAGUAGUUCCUGAUUUGUCUUCUCAUUCUUCCCUUCCCUCAGUCCCACUCUGUUGCUCCCAGGUGGGUCAGCACACCCUCAGACCUGUACCUCUACCCACUCUGACUGUACCUCACUGUUAAUGAAUCUGUUCAGUCCUUUCAAGGUGGCUGUGAAUUUUAUUUCUUCCUCUUUAAUUUUAAUAACCGAGCUUCCAUUGACUGGAAACUACACAUUAACUGACACAAAUAAAAGGGUGCACAUGCCCUUUGGCAACCUUU